This 24-nucleotide non-coding RNA is filed under the name Arabidopsis thaliana (thale cress). The record is from RNAcentral. Lineage: Eukaryota; Viridiplantae; Streptophyta; Magnoliopsida; Brassicales; Brassicaceae.
UGCCACCUUCUGAUCCACCUGAUU